UGUGCAGGGUAACUAUUUAAAAUCUAAUAUUAUAGCGCUAGUUAUAAGGUAAAAUGAAAGUUUUUUCCCUAAAAUGAGAUGUUAGUUUUAACGUCAGGGGGGUCUAAGCCCUGGUAACUACGAACACACGACACAUCUAUACAGCUCCACGACAUGUAAUUUGGUCAAAUCGCGGGUCAUCUGUGAUCGUCGUACGAGCAUCGUGGCGCUGUCGUAUGUCGUGGGACGAAAAUUGGACAUGCACCUUUUUGCUCUAUGAUUUUUUUGUCGUAUCACUGUCUUGUGGCUGUCGUGAGAGUGUCCUACCACAGUCGUGAGGCUGUUGUGCGAUAAACACAUUGUCGUAUAACAUAAACCAUUUAAAUAAGACAAUAGUCGCAGGACUGUGUACGACAAUCUCACGACUAUCGCAAGACGCUCGUGAUACAGUUGCACGAUUGUCUCACGAAUACCAAAUUUCGUACGAUGCUCGCACAGCAUUGAUUGUCUGUCGUACGACAUCGGUACGUUCGUCGUGCAGCAUAUUUACGUUUUAUUUAGAAGAAUACAAUUCGGCGGGGAUGAAUGUUUGAAAAACAUACCGUUUAAAGAGGAUGGCUUUCUCACAAGAACGAUUUUGUUUGGCCCUGUUGAAUAGGCGCCUUGCCGGACUCAAACAAGAGCAAAAUAAAGUCCUGUUAGCGUUGAUUUGAGCCCGUGAACAGUAUAGGAACGCCCGACGUUGGUGGGGUACUUUUAGGAAUUUGGGAUCUCAAUGCUCUUCAACUUCGUAUUUUAUUUUUUUUUUAACUUUUUUGGAUUCGAGCGUCACUAAUGAGUCUUUUGUAGAUGAAACGCGCGUCUGGCGUAUAUAUAAAAUUUUGUCGUGGUAUCUAUGAUGAGUUUAUUUAAGCCAUUGAUCGAACGGCGCCUGAUGUUUUGGCAGUAAAGUACACUGAUGAAAGAGUUGGAACGGGAAUCUGCCGUUGAUUUCGUUGGAUUCAUGCGGAUGGAGCUUUGCAUAUUUCAAGAGCUUUUGCUGAGAGUCGCCACUCGUAUCACAGUUGCACAACAGUGGUACGACAAUGGCACGACCGUAAUACGACAGUCACACGCGCAUCCCAAUACAUGAAAACCUGAAAAAAAAUAGCCACAAACAACUCACGAUUGUCGUACGAUUGUCGCACGACCGACUUGCGACAAGCACACGACAGUAC
Molecule: long non-coding RNA, 1196 nt
Filed under: Mytilus galloprovincialis (Mediterranean mussel)
Lineage: Eukaryota; Metazoa; Mollusca; Bivalvia; Mytilida; Mytilidae
Source: RNAcentral